UGGGGGAUAGCCCGGCGAAAGCCGGAUUAAUACCGCAUACGCCCUGAGGGGGAAAGUGGGGGACCGCAAGGCCUCACGUUAUUGGAGCGGCCGAUGGCUGAUUAGCUAGUUGGUGGGGUAAAGGCCUACCAAGGCGACGAUCAGUAGCUGGUCUGAGAGGACGAUCAGCCACACUGGGACUGAGACACGGCCCAGACUCCUACGGGAGGCAGCAGUGGGGAAUUUUGGACAAUGGGCGAAAGCCUGAUCCAGCAAUGCCGCGUGUGCGAAGAAGGCCUUCGGGUUGUAAAGCACUUUUGUUCGGGAAGAAAACGUCUGUGUUAAUACCACGGGCGGAUGACGGUACCGGAAGAAUAAGCACCGGCUAACUACGUGCCAGCAGCCGCGGUAAUACGUAGGGUGCGAGCGUUAAUCGGAAUUACUGGGCGUAAAGCGUGCGCAGGCGGCCAUGUAAGACAGGUGUGAAAUCCCCGAGCUUAACUUGGGAAUUGCAUUUGUGACUGCAUGGCUAGAGUGUGUCAGAGGGAGGUGGAAUUCCACGUGUAGCAGUGAAAU
RNAcentral lists this ribosomal RNA (555 nucleotides) under Limnobacter sp. KP2-18. RNAcentral describes it as "bacterial SSU rRNA". It matches the Rfam family "Bacterial small subunit ribosomal RNA", at positions 137 to 687 of the family's 1533-position model. The record is from RNAcentral. Lineage: Bacteria; Pseudomonadati; Pseudomonadota; Betaproteobacteria; Burkholderiales; Burkholderiaceae. RNAcentral also lists the same sequence under 2 other names.